This 471-nucleotide ribosomal RNA is filed under the name uncultured Anaerolineaceae bacterium. RNAcentral describes it as "bacterial SSU rRNA". It matches the Rfam family "Bacterial small subunit ribosomal RNA", at positions 897 to 1382 of the family's 1533-position model. Lineage: Bacteria; Bacillati; Chloroflexota; Anaerolineae; Anaerolineales; Anaerolineaceae. The record is from RNAcentral.
AAACUCAAAGGAAUUGACGGGACCCGCACAAGCAGCGGAGCGUGUGGUUUAAUUCGUUGCUACACGAAGAACCUUACCUGGGUUUGACAUAUAGGUUGUAGGGAACUGAAAAGGGACCGACCCUUCGGGGAGCCUAUACAGGUGUUGCAUGGCUGUCGUCAGCUCGUGUCGUGAGAUGUUCGGUUAAGUCCGCUAACGAGCGCAACCCUCGUCGUAUGUUAUAUGUGUCAUACGAGACUGCCGGUAAAAAGCCGGAGGAAGGUGAGGAUGAUGUCAAGUCAGCAUGACCUUUAUAUCCAGGGCUACACACACGCUACAAUGGUCUGUACAAUGGGUAGCCAAGCCGCGAGGCGGAGCCAAUCCUAAAAGCAGGCCUCAGUUCAGAUUGCAGUCUGCAACCCGACUGCAUGAAGAUGGAGUUGCUAGUAACCGCAGGUCAGCUAUACUGCGGUGAAUACGUUCCCGGGUCUU